Long non-coding RNA from Sinocyclocheilus grahami, 270 nucleotides. RefSeq lists it as uncharacterized. The transcript has 2 exons. The record is from RefSeq and is a predicted model, not a curated record. Lineage: Eukaryota; Metazoa; Chordata; Actinopteri; Cypriniformes; Cyprinidae.
GUCGUGAAAACCCGGCUGUAGUCACUCAAUACAAUUGCAAACGAAGACACCUACAAUGGUGUGGCAGACUGCAUCAGAAAGAUAAUGCGCAAAGAAGGGCCAGCUGCUUUUCUGAAGAGUGCCGGCUGCAGGGCGCUGGUCAUUGCUCCACUCUUUGGAAUUGCUCAAGUGGUUUAUUUCAUCGGUGUUGGGGAAUUUCUCUUGGGACAAACCCCAUUCAACCUUUACUCUGUCUAAGCUAUGAAACCACCUGAAUUAAACUUUAAAGAC